UAAUUUUUUUUGUAAAACUUUACCUUUUAUGCUGCCAUUAGCAAACAUUAGUAUUUAUAACAUAAUAAAUUAUAAUAUGGAGGAUAAAAGGACACCUUUAAGGGAGGAUUAAUUUUUAUUUAAGGAUUAAUUAUUAAAUUGAUUCCAUAUGACUGGACCUAAGGAAUCAGGGAGACUUUAUUGUCAAAUCGCCUACCUUUCUUAAUGAUGAUCCAAGCCCACCACCUACGGAAUGAGGAGCUAUAGAGACUCAGGAAACAAGCUAAUCGCCAGGAUAUGAUGCAAACGCGCAUCAUCACACAUAGGAGAGCAGCCAUUGCAGAGGGUGGACUGUUUUGUCUCGAACACCCUGUAUAAGAACUAGAACUGUGAGCUGCCUCGAUAGUAUCGUACCAUCACAAAAU
This is a long non-coding RNA of Anthonomus grandis grandis, 404 nucleotides long. RefSeq lists it as uncharacterized. The transcript is spliced from 3 exons. The record is from RefSeq and is a predicted model, not a curated record. Lineage: Eukaryota; Metazoa; Arthropoda; Insecta; Coleoptera; Curculionidae.